Non-coding RNA from Podarcis lilfordi (Lilford's wall lizard), 76 nucleotides. Lineage: Eukaryota; Metazoa; Chordata; Lepidosauria; Squamata; Lacertidae. The record is from the annotation of a GenBank genome assembly.
GGGGAGGACCAUAGCUCAGUGUCAGAGAAUAUGCUUAGCAUGCAGAAGGUCCUAGGUUUAAUCCCUGUCUUCUCCA